This 468-nucleotide ribosomal RNA is filed under the name uncultured bacterium. RNAcentral's name for it is "partial 16S ribosomal RNA". It matches the Rfam family "Bacterial small subunit ribosomal RNA", at positions 28 to 507 of the family's 1533-position model. The record is from RNAcentral.
GACGAACGCUGGCGGCGUGCUUAACACAUGCAAGUCGAACGGAAAGGCCCUGCUUUUGUGGGGUGCUCGAGUGGCGAACGGGUGAGUAACACGUGAGUAAACUGCCCUUGACUUUGGGAUAACUUCAGGAAAAUCGGGCUAAUACACGGUAGGAGCUCCUGCUGCAUGGUGGGGGUUGGAAAGUUGGGGCGGUUGGGGAUGGAAUGGCGGCUUAUCAGCUUGUUGGUGGGGUAGUGGCUUAGCAAGGCUGUGACGGGUAGCCGGCCGGUGAGGGUGACCGGCAACAACGGGACGGAGAUACGCCGCAGGCUGCUACGGGGAGGAGUAGUGGAGGAUAGUACGCAAUGGGCAGAAGCCUGAUGCAACAACGCCGCGUGCGGGAUUAGGGCCUGCGGGUUGUAAACCGCUAUCGCCUAUGACGAAGCGUGGGUGACGGUAAUGGGUAAAGAAGCACCGGCUAACUACGUG